AUGCAGCUCUGCUUCAGCUUGACGCACGUGUGUGUGUGUGUGUGUGUUUGGGUAAGAGGUUUUUACUCUGUCACUCAUGUUUUCAGGAGCGAGUCGCUGAUGUGGAAGAAUAAUCAUGGCUCCUGCGUCUCUCUGAAUCUCUUCCUGCCGGCUGCACUGUGCUGGUCAAACAAAUUCAAUUACUGCUGCAGUAUAAGAAACCUCGAAACAACAUGCAUUUUCCUGAGCAGUGAAGCUGCGUCAGAUAUGAAGGCUUGUGUGAAUCCUGUGCUGCAUUUCCUCUCGCGCUCUGAUGGAUUGUUCAAUUGAUUUUGACUUAAAAUAUAAAGAAUAGAGUCACAUGUUUAAUGGAAGAAAAUACCCUUCUUUAUCUAGGUGUUUUAUUAUUAUUAUUAUUAUUAUUUGUAUUUUUUAUUUUUUUUUGCCAUACCAGCAUCUAUAGCUAAGCUAUUUUCAUGGCAAGAUCGAUGUAUUUUAAAAGAAACAAAAAGAGCAGACAUACUGUAGUGAUAAAAGCAACAACUGACAAUCAACUAUAACAAACAUUUUAUACGAUUGUUUUCCCAAGAUGAUUAAUCACAGGACAUUAAAACAAUUGAUUUCUAUUACAGCUUUUCUGAAAUUCUAUGUUUACAUAGACAAAUGCAUUAUUUCAUGAAAUAUGAUCUAAUAUGCAUGCAUUUACAGCACAUAAAUCUGAACAUUGGAUAAAACUCUUGUUUGAUUUUGUUGUUAUAAAAGAGUUAAACAUUUUUCACAGAGGGGUUUUUGGAUUUCUCUUUUUAUAACUCCAUAAAUCAGAAAACACUGUCAACAUACAGAAAAAAAAGACAUACAAAAAAAUGUCACCAUGUUUUUAGGAGUAAAAUGUCUCACAAAUCAGUGUGAAUGAAAUAUGAACGAACCUUCUGUAUAUAGAGAGAAAUAAACCUUUAAAGUCUGGUCAAUGUGAGAGAAAACAGCAAUUUUGUUUGUCUUGUCUUGCCAGUAACAAUUUCUAAAGAAAGAUUUAAUUUGAUGUGAGAGGUGAAACAGAUAUUAAUCAAAUAUAAAUAUGACAGGCUAGUCCUGCAGUUAACACCUCGUGUAACAUGUUGGAGUGGAGUUAUGUGUUACUGAAGCUCCUCUCCUCACUACGAUUGUGAUUUAUGAGCAAACGGCAGCUGAAAUGUACACCGGUUGUUCUUGCAGUAAUCUGUGGAAUGAGGAAGUGUAUCCUUGUGUUUCAUUAACUCCUGGCUAAUGACAUGAGCGCGUCUCCCCACAGGGGCCGCUGAUGGAGACGUCGCCAGCACAGAGCACAAAUUAAUGCGCUGGGGUUAAACGCUGGAACUAACUCGUGUUUCAACAAAAGGCCAGCCAUUACAGCGGGCCAUAAAAACCAUCAGAUCCGUCUCGAUCUCACGGGCUUCGGGUCUUUGCUUUGGCUCUCAUUUUGUCUUUUUCAUCACAUGUCAGGCUGCAUUUGCUCAUCUAAAACAAUCAUAAUUUGCUGUAAGCCUAUGUUGGAGGGUUUUUAAUGAAUCGUCUCUGACUAUGCAGAGAUACAUUUUUCUUUCUAAGUUCUGACGAAACUCUGUUUAGUGUCUGGAGGACUGCGGAGAGGAAAGGCUUCAGUGAUGCAGCAUUAAUGAGAAAAGCGGCUGAAACGAGCCGGUCUGGAGAGGCUCGCGCUCCUUCUAAUUGGAGAUGAUUUUCUUAAAGCCUCUCUUACGGCUGACAGUGUCUGUCCUUCACUUUCUUUCGCUCUCUUCUUUUACGAGACACAAAUGAAGUGGCAAAGCAGAGACUUUGCAGAAAUUCAGGAGUCCACAGGUGUAAUCGACUCAUUCUCAAGCCGUGUUUGUCCCUCUAAUUAGCUGCUUCCCCUUGAGCUAUAACAAGGGCCCUAACGAGAGUGUUUUUGCAGUAAUAAUGGCUGCAGAUACCUGCGGGGUGAGAGCACGCUGCUGUUUCUCAUCCUGUCAGGCAAACUGUGGAGCACUGGGGCUUAAUGAUCCUGAAAACAAGACGUGUGUGUGUGUGUGUGUGUGUGAGCGCGCUUCAUCCAGAUAUUCUCAUGCUUCAGCUGAUUCCUCCCUGUGCAGACGGGACCCGUGUGUUUCAGUCACACAGUAACAGAAGGUCUCGUAUUAGACCCGUCUCAGAGCGGGACGAGAGAGAACAGCACUCCUGCAUUACACAUUUCUAUAAUGCUUUGUCAAAUACAGAUAGCUCCAAAGCAGCUUCACAUUAAUCAUGUCCAAAUCCAAAUCAUGUCAGUGCAGUUAAAUAAUAUUAUGAUAAUAUAAUGAUAAUAUUACUGAAUAUAUUACUGGUCUUUUUUUCAAAUUAUUUGUAGGGAUGCAUCGUGGUUUGAACAUUUUAGUAAAUGAGUAAUAUUUUAGUCGAUAUAUGCAAACAAUUUCCAGCUAAAGUCUUUAUGAAUGUCCAUCUGUCAUAGAGCAACAUUAUAAUAUUGCUACAUCAUCUUACAGUUUCCUAAUUCACUGUUCUUCCUCAGUAUUUUUGGCUGGUUUUCCAUUACAAAUAUCUCAACAUCCUUGAAUCAGAAAACAUUUACUUGACAUGCAAAAUGAUUUAACGUAUAUAUAUAUAUAUAUAUAUAUAUAUAUAUAUAUAUAUAUAUAUAUAUAUAUAUAUAUAUAUAUACAUACAUACAUAUAU
This 2667-nucleotide long non-coding RNA is filed under the name Carassius auratus (goldfish). Its description in RNAcentral is "lncRNA (ENSCARG00000069740.1)". Lineage: Eukaryota; Metazoa; Chordata; Actinopteri; Cypriniformes; Cyprinidae. The record is from RNAcentral.